UGGGGAAUAUUGCACAAUGGGGGAAACCCUGAUGCAGCGACGCCGCGUGAGCGAAGAAGGCUUUCGAGUCGUAAAGCUCUGUCCUAUGAGAAAAAAAUGACGGUACCUACAGAAGAAGCAACGGCUAAAUACGUGCCAGCAGCCGCGGUAAUACGUAUGUUGCGAGCGUUAUCCGGAAUUAUUGGGCUUAAAGGGCAUCUAGGCGGUAAGACAAGUUGAAGGUGAAAACCUGUGGCUCAACCAUAGGCUUGCCUACAAAACUGUUGAACUAGAGUACUGGAAAGGUGGGUGGAACUACACGAGUAGAGGUGAAAUUCGUAGAUAUGUGUAGGAAUGCCGAUGAUGAAGAUAACUCACUGGACAGAAACUGACGCUGAAGUGCGAAAGCUAGGGGAGCAAACAGG
RNAcentral lists this ribosomal RNA (404 nucleotides) under Verrucomicrobiota bacterium. RNAcentral describes it as "Verrucomicrobia bacterium partial 16S ribosomal RNA". It matches the Rfam family "Bacterial small subunit ribosomal RNA", at positions 355 to 776 of the family's 1533-position model. Lineage: Bacteria; Pseudomonadati; Verrucomicrobiota. The record is from RNAcentral.